GAGACAGCAGCAGCCGCGGUAAUACGAAGGGUGCAAGCGUUAAUCGGAAUUACUGGGCGUAAAGCGUGCGUAGGCGGUUUGUUAAGUCUGUUGUGAAAUCCCCGGGCUUAACCUGGGAACUGCAUUUGUGACUGGCGGGCUAGAGUAUGGCAGAGGGGGGUAGAAUUCCACGUGUAGCAGUGAAAUGCGUAGAGAUGUGGAGGAAUACCGAUGGCGAAGGCAGCCCCCUGGCCCGAUACUGACGCUGAGGCACGAAAGCGUGGGGAGCAAACAGGAUUAGAUACCCCCGUAGUCCCUGUCUCUUAUAC
RNAcentral lists this ribosomal RNA (308 nucleotides) under uncultured bacterium. Its description in RNAcentral is "partial 16S ribosomal RNA". It matches the Rfam family "Bacterial small subunit ribosomal RNA", at positions 505 to 807 of the family's 1533-position model. The record is from RNAcentral.